This 409-nucleotide ribosomal RNA is filed under the name bacterium. Its description in RNAcentral is "partial 16S ribosomal RNA". It matches the Rfam family "Bacterial small subunit ribosomal RNA", at positions 355 to 776 of the family's 1533-position model. The record is from RNAcentral. RNAcentral also lists the same sequence under 1 other name.
UGGGGAAUAUUGCUCAAUGGGCGCAAGCCUGAAGCAGCGACGCCGCGUGAGGGAUGAAGGCCUUCGGGUUGUAAACCUCUUUCAGCGCCGAAGAAGCGAAAGUGACGGUAGGCGCAGAAGAAGCACCGGCUAACUACGUGCCAGCAGCCGCGGUAAUACGUAGGGUGCAAGCGUUGUCCGGAAUCAUUGGGCGUAAAGAGCUCGUAGGCGGUCUGUCGCGUCUGCUGUGAAAACCUGGGGCUUAACCCCGGGCCUGCAGUGGGUACGGGCAGACUAGAGUGCGGUAGGGGAGACUGGAAUUCCUGGUGUAGCGGUGAAAUGCGCAGAUAUCAGGAGGAACACCGGUGGCGAAGGCGGGUCUCUGGGCCGUAACUGACGCUGAGGAGCGAAAGCAUGGGUAGCGAACAGG